RNAcentral lists this transfer RNA (85 nucleotides) under Pseudothauera rhizosphaerae. Its description in RNAcentral is "Azoarcus sp. CC-YHH848 tRNA-Leu". It matches the Rfam family "tRNA". From Rfam's summary of the family: Transfer RNA (tRNA) molecules are approximately 80 nucleotides in length. Their secondary structure includes four short double-helical elements and three loops (D, anti-codon, and T loops). The record is from RNAcentral. Lineage: Bacteria; Pseudomonadati; Pseudomonadota; Betaproteobacteria; Rhodocyclales; Zoogloeaceae.
GCCCGGAUGGUGAAACUGGUAGACACAAGGGACUUAAAAUCCCUCGGCGCAAGCCGUGCGGGUUCGAGCCCCGCUCCGGGCACCA